UUUUUUUUUUUUUUUUUCUUUUUUCUUGAGGGCAUAGCAGUUUUGACGAUGAUCUUUCCAGAUUUCCAGCUUCAUAAAUGGCCCCUAAAGGGCAGCUUGGCUAGUCCCUUUACUACAAGCUUGAAGAGUAUAAUGGUGGUGGUAGGAAGUGGGGUUGCACUUAAGUACCAUAAGGAUGCCGAGCAUCAAGACAUGCUAUGCUAAAUCACUAUACAGGUGCCCCACUUCCGGCAUUGGUGGCUCUGGGUGCAGCGUAUGAGGAAGCCCUUGGCCCAUGAGUUAGUCAAUAGACAAGCCAUAUUCAUGGCCAGUUGACUUAUGCUUGUAUGGUGUAAGGCCAGGAAGAGCUUUGCUUUCUGAGUUCUUUUGGCUGGUUAUACAUUGACGCCUAAUUAUAAAUCAGGCAGUUAUAUUGCAGUAAAACCACAUGUCCAGCUGCAUUUGCUUCUGCAUCUGUCCUGCCCUUGGCUUAUGAGUCUUCAGUCUUCUCUUCUUUGUACCUCAUUGCUGUCUACCGCUCUUCCAUUCCCAAAUCUUCCCUAAUGAAAAUCUUUGAGUGGAGGUAAAAAUAAAUUCCUAUUUUUACACUUUUCUCUUCUGUUGGUGGUGUUUUAAUUUUGUCAGCCAUUCAGUACGUAUUUACUGAGUGCCUUCUAUUUUCCUGGUACUAUUUAAGUUGUACCAUGAGACUGAUUUUGAAUUUGAAAAGUGGCAGAUGAGUGGGAAGUAACUAAGUUAAAAAGAAGGAAAAGAGCACCCUUGACUGAAGAAACAGUGCAAAGGCCCAGUGGUAGGAAGCUGCGCCCAGGUUUGAUAAAUGGAAGUUAGAUACAGAGGCAGGAGAACCAAAAGUGAGAGGCAGAAGGAUAGAAAAAGAAGCUCCCCCAAUUGUCAGGAAAUUUGAUAGUCUUGUAGGCCAUGUAAAAAUGUUUGAUCCUUAUUCUAAGAUGAACCUGAAACCACCAAAGAAUUUUUAGCUGUGACAUUACAGGAUCAAAUCUGCAUUUUAAGCUCCCAUUCUGGCUGUGCCACGCAGAAUAAAGCCAGGUGGGGAGAAGACGGCUGAGGGUGGUCAAAGGAAGCCUAGCUGAUGUGUGAUUGUAGCUUUUCAAGAGAGAAACUGAGUUAGUUUGGUCUACAGCUGGCCAAUAUAGUGGAGCACAAUGGAUAUUUUUGAGACAUACCUAGAUGGUUAAUGCUGUAGGCUAGAUGGAUUGGGUAUAAGUGUCACAUUUAAUGUUGUCUCUUUCAGUGCGUUUCAGUCAUCAUUGAGCAGGUAGAUGGUCUCUCUUUAUUUUUCUUAUCUAAUUAUUUGCUUUGCUGGGAGGAAUUUCCAGGUGCUCCAGGGUCACACUGUCUAUGCAUGAGUCAUACUUUCGUGACUUAGUGGAGGAGGUACAAGUGUACUUUUUCUGAGGAUGACGCCACUUCAAAGGUACUGCUGUGGCAGAGGUUCCUGGUGGUACCCUACUUUCAAAAGAAGGUGGGAAACUCAGGAGGAGGUGAAGAAGACCAAGCGAGAGAAGGAAUUAAAGUUUUUAGUGAAUUAUAGGGAUUAUAGGGAUAAUUGCCACCAUGAAAUAAUUCUUAAUUUUCUGUACUGUUGUACUUUGUACGUGUUGGGUCCUUUUUUAAGAAAUCUUGAAAUGUUGCUCGGAGUGAUCCUGAGCCCUGUUUUUCACAUCCAGUUGAGCAAAUUGGGGUUAGUAACUGUUUAAUCUCAGCAUACUGUAAAAUUAAACUGCAAAGAUUAUUUUCUGUAACAAGAGCUCUCAAAGGUACAUUUAGUUGAGCUUUUUAUUAUAUUUUAUUUUGUAUUUGGUGUGUCAUUGAUAUUGGUGAUGUUGCUUUUCUGACAGUUUCAUAACUAGUUAUUCUCAUUGUGUUUGCUGUCAGAAUCCCUACUCUCACAACUGAAUGCGAACGUCUUAAUUAAUUGUGAGCUAAAGAAGGUACCGGGUUGUGCCUGCAGCAUGUGGAAGUUCCCAGGCUAGGAGUCGAAUUAGAGCUGCAGCUGCCAGCCUAGGCCACAGCCACAGCAAUGCAGGAUCCCAGCUGCAUCCGACACCACAGCUCAUGGCAACACUGGAUCCUUAACCCACUGAGCGAGGCCAGGGAUCGAACCUGCUGAAUGUCAGUAUUUUUUACUGCUGAAUGUCUAGUGCCUAGAACAGCGGGCUGUCAAAAAUUAUUGUGGAAUCCACAAAUGACAGGAAUAAAUGCAUACAUUAUCUGGUUCUAAUUUGGAAACCCAGUCGAUCAGCUUGUCCCAUUUAGGGAAUGCCAUCUCCUUUCAUCCAUCACAGAAGCCACAAUCUUGGGAUCACGCCUAACUUCUUUGCCUUUCAUCCUCCCUAUGUUCAAUCCUUAUAUUUUAUCCAUUCUGCUUCCGCAAUAGCUCAUGAAUUCCUCUACUUACCCUAGGAACCUAGAACCAUGGUUGCCUGUUUGGACAGGCAUUAUCUCCUGUCUUUUUAGCGUCUGUGUACUCCCCGUCCUACAACGGGAAUAAACGUCCCCGUCCUACAAGGGAAUAGACGUCCCCGUCCUACAAGGGAAUAGACGUCCCCGUCACCAUCAUGACUAUGUCCCUUCGCUGCCUAAAACCCUUUAACAUCAAAACGGUUCUGUGGGGUAGCAGCGAUAUUAAUGCCCAAUCUAUACAAUCUCUCCUUUGCCCAUCUGUGUUGCCUGAAGUUGCAGACAGAUUCUGGCAAGCCAUCAACUUCGGAGGGCUUCCCAGAGAAGGUAUAUGAUGAAUCUCUCUCUCUCUACAUGAGGGAUUUUGCUUUCACCAGGGCAGCUGGCUCAGUGCUCAGACACCCAUCUGGAGCAACUCUCAAAGAAUGGGGAUGGCGUCCAUAAAUGCCCCAGCCAUCCUGGCUUCCCUGGCUUUCAGUAGGGGUGAUUCUUAGACCCUGCCCCCAACAUGGGCCAUCACAGGGAUAUAGUAUCUGUUGAGGUUUAUUGCCCACACCCAUAACCAGCUCAUUAACAGAGCUUUUCUUGGACUUACUUCUUUCCUUAUUUCUUCCUCGGUUGUGUAUCCUGAAAUCAACUCUUCAGUAAACUCCCAGAAUCCAAGGCCUUGUCUCAGGGUCUGCUCUUGGGAAGACACAAAUGUUGAUACGUGACUUAUGUAGCCUCGUGGAUCCAGAGCCUCUUGGGUCUCAUCUUUGCGUCUCUCUCUCUCUCCCCAGGUUAUUUUUCUCAGUCAACAACUGCUUUCCUAUCCACACCAACCUUGUUUUUUGGCCACUCUAAUUCCUUGAGUGUACAUGCUCUUUCUAACUUUGAAAGCCUUUGCUUGCUUUGGCCUGUAUGUUCAAUGUUACCUCCGUCCUCCAGCACGAACCAAGUGCCUGUUCAAACAGGUGUCCAAUGAAUGCUGGCUCAAAUAAUUGGAGCCUGAAAUGAGUUCCAGCUCUUGUAAUUCCACAGAGAAGUCAAAUCAUUUCAGUUUAUUUUUAUGCAAUAUAUUACGGGGACAUUGCUAAAAUUCUGAGAACAUAUAUAAGCAGAUUAGUAACAUACAAUAAUUUUUAAAAUUUCCAAUACAUGUUUUUCUUCUUAACCUGCUUGGAAUUAUCCAGGUGCAAACUAUCAACUCUUUUCAUUUGGAAACAAUGAAAUAUUCAGCUGUCCAGAGAAUAAAUGUAUUUGAAUAACAUGAUUUUUUAAUAAGCUAAUAUUAACUUAAAUUUUUCUUUUUAGAAUAAGUCAAGUCCUUUUUAUGGUGGAUUAUCACAUUCUUAUUCUUAAUAUGGCUUUUUUUUUUUUUUUUUGCCAAAAAUGUUCCCUGAAAGUAGCAUUUGCUUGGUUUUAAAUAAACUUUUAAGUUGUAUUAGCAAGAGCCAAAGUGAUGAUAGAAUUAGACUCAUUAUGCUUUUAUUUUACUACAAUAAUCUUAGCAAGAGAUAUAUCUGAUCUUAAGCAUAUAAUUAGGGCAUUUGAAGUAAUCCAUGCUUUAACAUGAUUUGAGAUGAUAAAUGCCAGUUACAAGAAACAUGGUACUGCUCCUUUUACUGUUCCUCUUUCUCUCUUUCUUACAACUAAUCACUCACUAAUAACUUGGGCUCCUUUUUUCACAGUGUUUUAAAUUUGGUAAGAUUUG
Molecule: long non-coding RNA, 4114 nt
Filed under: Sus scrofa (pig)
Lineage: Eukaryota; Metazoa; Chordata; Mammalia; Artiodactyla; Suidae
Description: lncRNA (ENSSSCG00055024612.1)
Source: RNAcentral